Molecule: long non-coding RNA, 525 nt
Organism: Zea mays
Lineage: Eukaryota; Viridiplantae; Streptophyta; Magnoliopsida; Poales; Poaceae
Exons: 2
Source: RefSeq, a predicted model, not a curated record
CCCCAUGGAUCCCCACGUGAUCCCUGUCCACCAAACCAGCCCUCAGGGAGGAGGAGGAGGCCCACCAGAGAGCUGCCUUCCUCGCGCAGGGCCUCGCGAUGGCGCGGAAGGAGGGAGUCCACGCCGACAUCGUCGUCAAACCCGGCACUGGGCCCCCAAUAUAGGCCCACAAAGCCAUUCUGGCCGCGAGGUCGGAGGUGUUCGGCCACGUGCUGGCUGGCCGCCGACGAGCGCUGCAAGAAGCAGGGAUGUAAUCGGAUCGAAUACAGACGGAUAUCACAGAAACCAUAUUUGUUUUCAUAUUUUUAUUCGGAUUCGAAUUCGAAUAUAGAUACUUUCGGAUACGAAUACAAAUACAGAUGUUCUCGGAUGCAAAUACGGAUAGCCACGUGUCGAAUACGGAACUAGUCGGACACGGAUAGCGUCAGUAACGAAUUUUUUGUCGGAUACCGUGUAAGACACCAUUCCAAACAUAUCACGACUUCACGAGUGUCAUAAUCAUUUAGCACUCCUUGAGUCCAAACA